Dromaius novaehollandiae (emu) is the source of this 1642-nucleotide long non-coding RNA. RefSeq lists it as uncharacterized. The transcript is spliced from 2 exons. NCBI's taxonomy places the organism in Eukaryota, Metazoa, Chordata, Aves, Casuariiformes, Dromaiidae. The record is from RefSeq and is a predicted model, not a curated record.
GAAAUACCUAAGAAUACUUUUUUAACAUGUCUCAUUCAGCAGGACUGGUUGCUUCAAACUAUCAGUGUAGAAGUUGCGUAUGUGGAUUCUCAUCCAUGCUGCCCAAUCUGGAAUUGUUCUGCCUCUUCACGUUGCCUAUGGAACAACUUGGGUAUUGAAGAUAAGUCACAACCCAGCUUUAAAACUACAGUUCCAGGAGAAACACCAUCUGUAAUAGCACAAGGUCAAGGACUGGUAGUAGGUAAUAAUGGUACAUUAACCCUAAGAUCUAAAGUUAAUUUAAAUGUAACUAUGUAAUAACACUGGAUAGGAAGCUGCAUGUGGCUUUGACAGUAGAGUGAAAUGGGUACUACAGACAUGUAAGGCAACAUUUGUCAUUGUAGUUGACAUAUAUUUUUUGACCAAAUCACCAAGCAGACUUGCUGGAUAAUUUCUCAUAUGGCUGAACAAGAAGCGUCUUAUUUUGCACUGUUUAAUACAUCAGUAACACUUGAAGUAACCUUCCAUCAAGAAGACAAGUUUCUCAAACAAAAUACCGAGAUUACUCAACAUCUGUCUGAAAUCGGAAAAUGCUUAGAAGAAAGAGAAGAAAAAUGAUAUGUAAUAAUAAUGAACUGAUUUGGCUAGCAAAAGUGGAAACCAGUCUUACUGAACAUCAUUGGCAUAGGAUCUUUAAAGAUUCGUCACCAAAAGCUACCAAUGUGUUGCAACUGAUUUUACAUCCUAUGCUCAUGCUGUUAAUAAUCAUUGUGUUGUUAUUUGUUAUAAUCUUAGUGUUUACCUGUUAUCUUAAGAACCAAAUAGUACACAUGAAUGAAAUAUUAACUCAAUUUAAAUCAUGUACUGAGCUAUUUUAAAUUACUGUUUUCCCAUAUAUAUAAGCUCUUACUUGGACUGUGCACAGGCAAGAAGGGCUGGUCAUUCAUAUGAUGAAUUUAUUAAGCUCACUGUGCAACACCAGUAAUCACUAAAUGUUGUCUGAGCCAAGAGGUGGAAUGUGACUGACCAAUAAACCCCUGCAAUGGAAGAAGGCUUAGAGGAGGUGGGCAAGGGUUGAGGUGCCCAGGGAGGAAGGCAGGGUGUGACUCACCACAGCUGUUGCAAAGAAAGCUGAAUUUAUGUCAACACAGAGGGGACUGGGAGGCAGCCUGUCUUUUAGAUACACACCUAUGUCAGUUGCAGAUCAAUUGACUGUAUCACAGUUGAGUAGAUCAGCUGUGUAAACGUUUCUCCCUGAGUUAAUCAGAGGAGUGUGAUUGCCUCCCUCAGUUAGCAAGACCAGCAUGGGCAGAGUGUAUACAUGGCUCAGCCCAACACAGAGUAUAGAAACUGCACAAAUAACAAAAGAACUUCAAAGAGAGCAAUGGGCUUGAGCUGGUUUCAACCCACGUAUUGCUUCCCAGAGACUGGGGACAACCAGCAUCGGGACAGGGAGCAUAUGAUAGAGGCUGGCAAUGGGAAUCAGAUUUGUAUUGCAAUUCAAUUGUAUAUUGUAAUUGCUAUAUUUUGCUAAGUGUAACUUACGCUUGUAUUGUGAUUUAAGUAUAUUGUUGCAUCACUCUGCUAAAUCAGAAUCCCAUGUAUGGUCAAAUAUCUUCAAAUAAGUAAAUUAGAUAUUAAACAUUACACCCUCCAUGCAUGG